RNAcentral lists this ribosomal RNA (253 nucleotides) under uncultured bacterium. RNAcentral describes it as "partial 16S ribosomal RNA". It matches the Rfam family "Bacterial small subunit ribosomal RNA", at positions 524 to 776 of the family's 1533-position model. The record is from RNAcentral.
UACGUAGGGUGCGAGCGUUGUCCGGAAUUACUGGGCGUAAAGAGCUUGUAGGCGGUUUGUUGCGUUGUUCGUGAAAACUCACAGCUCAACUGUGGGCGUGCGGGCGAUACGGGCAGACUAGAGUACUGCAGGGGAGACUGGAAUUCCUGGUGUAGCGGUGGAAUGCGCAGAUAUCAGGAGGAACACCGGUGGCGAAGGCGGGUCUCUGGGCCGUAACUGACGCUGAGGAGCGAAAGCGUGGGGAGCGAACAGG